RNAcentral lists this ribosomal RNA (366 nucleotides) under uncultured bacterium. RNAcentral describes it as "bacterial SSU rRNA". It matches the Rfam family "Bacterial small subunit ribosomal RNA", at positions 8 to 372 of the family's 1533-position model. The record is from RNAcentral.
AGAGUUUGAUCCUGGCUCAGAUUGAACGCUGGCGGCAUGCCUUACACAUGCAAGUCGAACGGCAGCACGGGAGCAAUCCUGGUGGCGAGUGGCGAACGGGUGAGUAAUAUAUCGGAACGUGCCCAAUCGUGGGGGAUAACGCAGCGAAAGCUGUGCUAAUACCGCAUACGAUCUACGGAUGAAAGCGGGGGACUCAGCAAUGGGCCUCGCGCGAAUGGAGCGGCCGAUAUCAGAUUAGCUAGUUGGUGGGGUAAAGGCUCACCAAGGCGACGAUCUGUAGCUGGUCUGAGAGGACGACCAGCCACACUGGAACUGAGACACGGUCCAGACUCCUACGGGAGGCAGCAGUGGGGAAUUUUGGACAAU